RNA transcript from Caretta caretta (loggerhead turtle), 4487 nucleotides. It is a transcript of the gene named cysteine rich hydrophobic domain 1, with no coding region annotated. The record is from RefSeq and is a predicted model, not a curated record. NCBI's taxonomy places the organism in Eukaryota, Metazoa, Chordata, Testudines, Cheloniidae.
CUGGGCGUUUCGGUGGGGGGCGGGGGGAGAUGAGCGUACUGCUCCCCAAUAUGGCAGACUUCGACACUAUCUAUGAGCUGGAGGAGGAGGAGGAGGAGGAGUCCGAGCCGGUGGUGAGGAGCCAGGAGCUGCCCCGGCCCCGAGACGCGCCAGACCCUGUGGCGGUACGGGGCGCCGGGCACAUCACCGUGUUUGGCUUGAGCAACAAGUUUGACACAGAAUUUCCCUCUGUCCUGACAGGAAAAGUUGCUCCAGAAGAAUUUAAGACUAGUAUCAGCCGUGUGAAUGCGUGUUUAAGGAAGAAUCUCCCUGUAAAUGUAAAAUGGCUGCUUUGUGGCUGUCUGUGCUGCUGCUGCACCCUGGGUUGCAGCCUGUGGCCUGUUAUCUGUCUUAAUAAAAGAACUAGAAGAUCAAUUCAGAAGUUGCUAGAAUGGGAAAAUAACAGACUAUAUCAUAAGCUUGGUUUGCACUGGAAGCUGAGUAAAAGGAAAUGUGAAACUAGCAAUAUGAUGGAAUAUAAAACUGUAUAAAGUGCUGUCCCACAACUGAAAGAGGUGUUCCGGAUAAGCAGAGUGGAAAAAGUUGUGGAGGGAAUCCCAGCACCUAUAGGGUCCCUUCCAAUGGGACCCAGGACAGAAGGACUCUUCUCGGUAAUACUAAUAGAAUUCUUACCAAAAUAUCCCAUAUUUCGACCUGACUGAGGAGCAGUAUUCAGUCUUUCAUGUUACCUGCAAUUUCCUACUCUUAGUGCCUUGUAGCUGAUUUUGGAAAGAAGAUGGUCUACUUUGCUGUGACUUUAAAAUGUUGUUAUUUGGUAGAAUAUCUUCCUUGCUAUGUUAUUUUUCUUUUGUUUAAGAAGAAAACAAUUUGCACAUUUUUUAUGUUAAAUGAGGCUUCUAUGUUGCACUCUGAAUUUUUAACAUUAACAAUAACAAAUAUAGUUGCCACUAAGGAUCUAACAACAGUGCUGCUUAACUUGUUCUGAGCAUGCUGCCUUAUUAAUUUCCAUACUUACUGUUUCCACAUGUACAUCCUAACUCUGUAUCAUACUGUAUUUCAUUCUAAAAUCACAUUACUAUAAAUCCUCAAUAGAAACAUCCAAGUAAGCUUCCAGUAGUUAGCAAUGAUUUUACUUAUAACUUGCUUGCAUAGGACUUGCAAUUAACAGCACUGGUUUUGUCCCGCAUUUUGCAAAAUCAUCAUUUACAUUAGAGGGUUAAUUAUUUUACCUACUGUGGAUUUGUAAAUAGUGCCUCGUUGCAUAAUGUAAAAUGUGGUAUGUCAAGGUUUACAGAAUGUAAUAUAGCUCUGAUUAUUGCCAACAGUUCUACAUAGAUUUAUUAAUGACAUUUAUUAGCAUCCUGAUUGUAUGGACCCAUUCAUAUGCCAUUUUUAUGGUAAAGCCAUAAUGAGUUUGUACAUACUAUCAGGUGUAGGGCUCAGAUGCACUUUGUUAGUAAAUGGAUGAAAAAUGCAUAGCAUUUCUGUGUUUCUUCAGAGAUUUUUCAGGUGUCUUGGUUAAUACCUGAAAUAAGGAAUCUUAAGUAUUCUCACAUUUUGGAAAAGUUGUAUUUGUGGAGUAGACUGCAACUAAUAUAUUAUCAGACUAUCCUAAAAGCCUAUUUUUAAGACACAAAUAUAUGGAAGUCAGGAAAAAACAUGGGUUUUUUAAAAAAAAAAAUUAAAAAAAGCGAAGAAGCAAAUUUAAAGUAAUUGGACUGAAUUGUUAUAACUACAGCCAACUACUUGGGACAGGUAAAUCAAUACAGAAGAAACAUUAAAUUUAAUAUUUUUAUUGCACAGUGGUACCUGAUAUUAUUUUUUACAUAUUGAGCAGUUAACUAAAACUGCAUCCUUUCCAGAAUGAAAAAGGAGCAGCAUACAUAUUUUCAAACAGAAUAACAGAGAACCACAAAACAAUCGUUUGAUGCAAGCCAUGAUGAGCUGAUAUUUGCCACAAAGAGCUUUAUUGUAACUUAGUGUCCAGGCAUUGCUUUACAGUUAUUUGGAUUCUUUGUGAUGCUAUUUGGUGCCUAAGUUUUCCAGUUCCAGAUUGAUUUUAGAAUCCUGUUUUAACAUAUUAAUCCAUACUGAAAAGGGAUGGUACAAACCCUGGUUGGAAUGGAAGAAAGCAUUUCGUAAACCAUUGCAUUUAAAAAACUGCAGUUGACAUGACAUGACUUCCAGCAGACUGUCAUAACAGUGGUGAGGGACAGAGAGCCAGUUACAGGCAUGUAGUCUUGUUGAGUCAAAUUCUUCAUACUUUUUGUUGCUCAGCUGAGGAACAGGAAACUCCUGUACUUGUGAUGUAAUUUCCAACCACAGCUGCCAAGAGUGAUGCUUCAAGCUGAGAUAUUUGAAGCUGAAAUGGAUUGUCAGCCUUAGACUGGUUUCAGUUCGUGUCAGAUCAGUGUCAGCUAACUAAGUGAAUUUUAAACCACUAGAAUGUAAGUACUUUAAAAAAAUCUACAAUAAUGUCUGACUAUAAACUUAGCUGCAGCUUGCAGCUAAACUUUUUUAUUACAGAACUACAAAAAGCAUACAUAGUGCCAUAUUAUGCUGAAAUGUGUUUAAGGGUGGGAAGCAGAGGGAAUGCUUAAAGACUUGGAGAAAAUAGAGUGCAAAAUAGAAUUGGAAUAGCAUGCUUAAUUUUAUAUUCAUUUCUGUUAAAACAGGAUUCUGGGCAGUAAGUUUUGCUAAUAAAAGAAUAAUUGUAAGCAUUUUUAAUACCUUAAAAUCUUAAGUAAUGGAAGCUUCUUACUAUUAUGCUAGAGGUUGUUAAUAAUUAUUCCCUCUCAUUUUUGUUAAUUAACAGCCCAGAAACCACACCACUUUCUUUAUUUUCUUCCCUCAUUUGAGUGACUAUAUUUUCAGAAUGUUCCUCUGCAGCUGAGGGGACAAGAAAGCCAAUGAGAGUUUGAUGUCAUGAGUAGUAGUGAAUAUUGAAUACUCUUCAGUCUCAUAACUAUUAGCAGUCCUUCCCCUUAGACCCAAGUCUGUGUCUGACCUUAACAUAUGCAGGUCAGAAUUGUUCCAUCUGAUUUAGAACACAUUUUUGUGAAACACUAUGCCAGGCUGAGAGAAAAUACCAUCAGCUCUCCCCAGUUAGACCGUAUGUUCAAUGGGUUAUUAAUUUAGAAGACUUGCACUUGUAUCUGUAUGAAAAUGAUUCAUUUAAGAACAUAAAUUCUAUAGGGUUUUUUUUUUUUAAAUGUCACAUUACAAAUUGUUUAGUCUUCACCCCCAUUAAAAUUUAGUUCAAAAAUGGGUCCCUACAUUUUGCCCAGCUAUGAGGCAAUACUAGCAAAUGGUCUGGAGCAUGAGAGCCAAGACAGCAGAUUACAGCAAAUUUCAUCUGACUAAAGAGGUAAUUUUGGAUUGUGUUACAAAUGCCAGCAUACAAAUGACAUAGAUCAUUUUUCUCAUUUAAAGAUGAAAGCAGCCACUGGUGUUGCUUUAGACUGUGGACUGCGUUCUGCCGACAGGUUCUAUUUUGACUGCCAUUUGCUUUAAUACAUAAACAUUCAUCUGAUAGUUUUCAGUCUUCUAAAAUCUAUAUUACCUUAAACCCUAUAAGUAAAUAUGAAUUUGUAAAAACCUAUCCGUGAUGAGUAAUUGUUAAUCAGAGAGGGUCCAUAGCAAUACAACAAAGAGUAACGGGAACAAAGUUUAAUGCAAAUGGAAAGGAAAGUGCCUUGACUUGUUCAAAUGAAAGAAAAAGUGCCGUGCAGAGGGGGAGAAAAGGGAACCAGUUUAAGUGAAUAUCUGUAAAUGUAAUUGGCCACAAAGUUCCUGAAAAGCAAGUCUGGAAACAUUGUUUAGUUUAAGUUUUGUCAGAACACUGUGAUAGUUGUUUUCUUUUCCAGACUUCUGCAUUAGGAAAUGUCACGGUAUUAUCGAAUAUUGGCAGGGAAGGAAAACUCUUAUCUCCUGGCUUUAAAAUGACUUUUUUGAGAGUAGUUUCAUGCUGGCCUAAAGAAAUGUAAAUGUAUAUGAACAUGUGUAGAAAGUUUAGAUUUGAUUAUGUAUGAGACUAGAAACAAAACACAUUUUUGCUAAAUUUAGUGUAGUCUUGAUAAAGUUCAUAUGCUCAUCUUGAUAAAUACAGAAAUCUGUAUGCAAAAACAUGAAUAUGCGUGUAUUAGUGUCUCCUGACAUCAGUUUACUACAUUUAUCUAUAAACAUUAGCAUUUGAGCAAUAAAAAUGUCAAACAGUUAAUAGUCAAUGUAAAUAGUUCUGACCAUUUUAGUAAACAAUGUUGUGUGAUAUUCCUGUUCUACAAUUUUUGUUUUUGGUGUUUUUGUUUUUGGUGUUUUUAUGAAAGUGUAACAUUAUUUGUAACUCAUCAGAAAUCUGUUUUUGUUUAAGUUGUAUGAAAGGAUUUUUAAUUGAGUCCUUAACAUUUUUAUUCUGUUUACAAGUAAAUAGCCACUUUUUUUAAUAGGACCUCACACCUUGAAGUUUUUUGAAUAAAAUCCUAAAUAAG